GAUGAAGAACGCAGCGAAAUGCGAUAAGUAAUGUGAAUUGCAGAAUUCAGUGAAUCAUCGAAUCUUUGAACGCACAUUGCGCCCGCCAGCAUUCUGGCGGGCAUGCCUGUUCGAGCGUCAUUUCAACCCUCAAGCUCUGCUUGGUGUUGGGGCCCUACGGUUGACGUAGGCCCUUAAAGGUAGUGGCGGACCCUCUCGGAGCCUCCUUUGCGUAGUAACUAACGUCUCGCAUUGGGAUUCGGAGGGACUCUUGCCGUAAAACCCCCAAAUUUUCUAAUGGUUGACCUCGGAUCAGGUAGGAAUACCCGCUGAACUUAAGCAUAUCAAUAAGCGGAGGA
RNAcentral lists this unclassified non-coding RNA (338 nucleotides) under soil metagenome. Its description in RNAcentral is "partial contains 5.8S ribosomal RNA, internal transcribed spacer 2, and large subunit ribosomal RNA". The stretch from base 1 to 120 matches the Rfam family "5.8S ribosomal RNA", at positions 35 to 154 of the family's 154-position model. The record is from RNAcentral.